This 497-nucleotide ribosomal RNA is filed under the name uncultured bacterium. Its description in RNAcentral is "partial 16S ribosomal RNA". It matches the Rfam family "Bacterial small subunit ribosomal RNA", at positions 28 to 507 of the family's 1533-position model. The record is from RNAcentral.
GAUGAACGCUGGCGGCGUGCCUAAUACAUGCAAGUCGAGCGAACAGACGAGGAGCUUGCUCCUCUGACGUUAGCGGCGGACGGGUGAGUAACACGUGGAUAACCUACCUAUAAGACUGGGAUAACUUCGGGAAACCGGAGCUAAUACCGGAUAAUAUAUUGAACCGCAUGGUUCAAUAGUGAAAGACGGUUUUGCUGUCACUUAUAGAUGGAUCCGCGCCGCAUUAGCUAGUUGGUAAGGUAACGGCUUACCAAGGCAACGAUGCGUAGCCGACCUGAGAGGGUGAUCGGACACACUGGAACUGAGACACGGUCCAGACUCCUACGGGAGGCAGCAGUAGGGAAUCUUCCGCAAUGGGCGAAAGCCUGACGGAGCAACGCCGCGUGAGUGAUGAAGGUCUUCGGAUCGUAAAACUCUGUUAUUAGGGAAGAACAAAUGUGUAAGUAACUAUGCACGUCUUGACAGUACCUAAUCAGAAAGCCACGGCUAACUACGUG